GACGAACGCUGGCGGCGUGCUUAACACAUGCAAGUCGAACGGAAAGGCCCUGCUUUUGUGGGGUGCUCGAGUGGCGAACGGGUGAGUAAAACGUGAGUAACCUGCCCUUGUCUUUGGGAUAACUUCAGGAAACUGGGGCUCAUACCGGAUAGGAGCUCCUGCUGCAUGGUGGGGGUUGGAGAGUUUCGGCGGUUGGGGAUGGACUCGCGGCUUAUCAGCUUGUUGGUGUGGUAGUGGCUUACCAAGGCUUUGACGGGUAGCCGGCCUGAGAGGGGGACCGGUGUCAUUGGGACUGAGAGACGGCCCAGACUCGUACCGGAGGCAGCAGUGGGGAAUAUUGCACAAUGGGCGGAAGCCUGAUGCAGCAACGCCGCGUGCGGGAUGACGGCCUUCGGGUGGUAAACCGCUGUCGCCGGUGACGAAGCGGGAGUGACGGUAAUGGGUAAAGAAGCACCGGCUAACUACGUG
This 468-nucleotide ribosomal RNA is filed under the name uncultured bacterium. RNAcentral's name for it is "partial 16S ribosomal RNA". It matches the Rfam family "Bacterial small subunit ribosomal RNA", at positions 28 to 507 of the family's 1533-position model. The record is from RNAcentral.